This 732-nucleotide ribosomal RNA is filed under the name Sulfitobacter sp. RNAcentral's name for it is "bacterial SSU rRNA". It matches the Rfam family "Bacterial small subunit ribosomal RNA", at positions 56 to 835 of the family's 1533-position model. Lineage: Bacteria; Pseudomonadati; Pseudomonadota; Alphaproteobacteria; Rhodobacterales; Roseobacteraceae. The record is from RNAcentral.
UGCAGUCGAGCGAGACCUUCGGGUCUAGCGGCGGACGGGUUAGUAACGCGUGGGAACGUGCCCUUCUCUGCGGAAUAGCCACUGGAAACGGUGAGUAAUACCGCAUACGCCCUUCGGGGGAAAGAUUUAUCGGAAAAGGAUCGGCCCGCGUUAGAUUAGAUAGUUGGUGGGGUAACGGCCUACCAAGUCUACGAUCUAUAGCUGGUUUUAGAGGAUGAUCAGCAACACUGGGACUGAGACACGGCCCAGACUCCUACGGGAGGCAGCAGUGGGGAAUCUUAGACAAUGGGCGCAAGCCUGAUCUAGCCAUGCCGCGUGUGUGAUGAAGGUCUUAGGAUCGUAAAGCACUUUCGCCAGGGAUGAUAAUGACAGUACCUGGUAAAGAAACCCCGGCUAACUCCGUGCCAGCAGCCGCGGUAAUACGGAGGGGGUUAGCGUUGUUCGGAAUUACUGGGCGUAAAGCGCGCGUAGGCGGAUUGGAAAGUUGGGGGUGAAAUCCCGGGGCUCAACCCCGGAACUGCCUCCAAAACUAUCAGUCUAGAGUUCGAGAGAGGUGAGUGGAAUUCCAAGUGUAGAGGUGAAAUUCGUAGAUAUUUGGAGGAACACCAGUGGCGAAGGCGGCUCACUGGCUCGAUACUGACGCUGAGGUGCGAAAGUGUGGGGAGCAAACAGGAUUAGAUACCCUGGUAGUCCACACCGUAAACGAUGAAUGCCAGUCGUCGGGCAGUAUAC